GAAUUCUGCCAAAGAUGUGUGCUUGGAUGUGAGGUAUUUUUCUUCUUUUUCAUCCCUUUUGCUAAUUUAAUUCCCAGAUCUAAACCACAUUUUUCCAUCCUGGACUUCCACAAGCUGGGAUGCCUUGUUUGCGGUUGGGAAGCUUUGCUGUGCCCUCUGUGGAGUGCUGAGGUGUCAGGGGGGUCACCUGCCUGCAGUAAGUGACCGAGCAAAGGGGAGGCCUCGGGGUCAGGCAUGGGGCUGGUUUAUUGCCAGAGUCAAAGUUUUGGGAUGCGCUAGCGAGCAAAUCAUUACAGUGUUCCUGCCCUUCUUUCUCUCAUUAAGAGGAUAAAACCCAACCAAUUAUUGGAAUAUGCACAAAUAUGCCACUGAUGAGGGCCCUGAGCAACCAGGCAGAUUUUUCGAGCAGCCUUGAAGCAGCAAGACACAGCAGCCACAUGCUGGGCUCUCCCUUAUUUUUAUUCUUUUCUGUUUUCUUGGUUGUAGAAUAAGAGCUAAUCAAAGUGAUGCACUCCAGCAGGCUUUUGUGUAUGGCAUUACAGCAAAAUCCUAAAUUCUCUUUCCUGCUCAUGCAUACAAAGCAGGAAGAACUAGGAUGGCUGCAGACUAUUUUCAGAUGAUUCAGCCAAGGAGAAAAUAACUGGGUGGCUGGAAGAAGGAGCUUUGGAUAGGAAAUAGCCUUGAAGUGCAGCUCUCUGACAUGACGGCGUGCGAGGUGCCCAGCUCCCUGAGACAGCCCUGCUCUGUGAAAUGGAACAUGACUUCCAGAGGAGAUGACAAAGGACAAUACAGACACCAGAGCACCCAAAACCCCGUGCAAGAGAGACUGCAGAGUGAGCUGGGUGCUCCCUGCUGCUCCUGAGCAAGAAGUGGUUUCAGCAUCAACAUACAUGAAGUUCCCCCUGCUCGGUUCAGGACUCCUACCAAGUGCUGAGACAACAAGUUGAGUAUUUGGCUGGUAAAUCAGUGCAGCUCAACUGACUGGGUUCAUGGGAGGCUGUUUGUACCUGUAGAUGUGUUGUUUCUUCCUCCACUAAAGGCAAAAGCAUCACCUGGGACUUGCCCCUCACACCUGGAGCAAGUUGGAUGCUCCCUCCCCACAAGGCAGGAGCGUGGGCAUCAGUGAUACCUGAGCGAAAACUCUCACCUCCCUGUGCUUCACUUCACAGCACCUGGUCUGCAGCCCUCUCUCUCCCCCCCCUCAUUUCAAAGGGCCACGCAGUUCUCUCCCCCUUGUCUGUGACAACACUGGGGACAAAGCCCCAAAGAUGGUCCCACCGGGCAGGCUGGGGCUGACGUGGGACAUGGCGUUGCUCUUCGUGUUUGUUCGUGUCUCUUGAACAGCUCAGCACUGAUCAAAUCCCCUGAUUUGGAUUUAUUCUGUGCAAUUCAAAGCAAGAUUUGCUGGACCCCGCGGUGCCCAUGUGCCCGGGGAGGGUUGGGGUGUGGGUGCGGGCACUGCCAGGUCAGGGGAGGUCCUGACUGAGGAUGAAGGUGAAGGCAUCUUCGAAGGCUUUGGGCAAGGAGGACGGUUUCGAUGAGGCUGCAUCCCCCUCUGCUGGAAAAUCCAAGCAAAGGCAGCAGAGCACCCGCUGGCCGGGGAGAAAAAGCGGGAAUAAAUGUGCAAAGAACACAAGUGAGGCCCGAGGGUCCCCGGGGCCCAGAAGGGACAUCGCGGCAGCCAGCCUGGGGUGUACUGGGGGUUCAUCUGCUGCUGGCCGUGCUGAGAGGGCUCUUGCUGGGGACAGCCAGACCCCGAGCAGAAACUGGGACCAUGUCGCAUUUGUGCCAGGCACAAUCCCACUCCCCAUCACGGGAAUGGGCGAGUGGGGCAGGGGCAGCACCUGACAGUGUGGUCAGGCAGGUCCUGACGAUGUGGCAGGGUCUCACAGCUGGCAGAGAAUCGUGACUGUUACUAAACAGAAUUGCACAGACAAAGGCAGUGCUUUGACACUGGGUUCAGAGAGGCUUUGUAGCCCAGGUGGUGCCCAGGGGCCAUAGCUGACGGGCAUGAGGUGCAAAACACACUGGGGAGACUGAAAUACUUAUGGCAACCAUGGGCAGUGGCAUUUGCCAGGAAGGGGCUGCAGUGCUGUCUGGUUCUUGCCAAACAGCUCGUAGGGAGCUCUACUUCAAACCAGAGGCUGGAGAAAAUGCCUCUCCUCACCCCUCACCUGCUCCCUGGGUGGGUGGCUCAUGGUUCAGUCUAACCAAGGACUCCUGAGAAGUCCCUGCUCUGGAUUCCCCUGUGGUGCUGCUUUCUCUGGUCCUACAGGUGCCUGCACACAGCCCCGGGCUCUGUGCUCGUCUUUCAGAGCCUCACUUGGAGGCCGUUUGUGCUUAGACUGGAAGAAUGGGUUUGUUUCCUUUUGGAUUUAAAAUCUAAAUUACAGCAGGGGUGAAAUGCGGUGACUGGGCUGGCGAAGGCCCCGACUGUGCAAUAAAUCUGCAAGCAUGGGCCUGGCUUUUGCGCAGGGGGCUCUGCAAGUGCCAAGGUCGCUGCUAAUAAAUCUGACUGGAGGACCAGGAGGAAAUUUUUUUAAACUUACUGCAAACAGCAGGCUCCUUUUUAACCAUCUUUUUUUUUUCCUUGCUCCCUUCUGCUGAUUCAUGCUCCUGCUGCUUCGCCACUGGGAGACGCCAGCAUUCCUGAAGGUCAUCACUUGCAUGCAGCAGCUCACGCUGCGGAGUGUCUGCCAGCAUCUAGGAAAUCGAAAUGCUAAAGUGCCUGCGAUCAUUUAUAUUUUCCCUGGCAGUGACAGACAAUCCACAGCUUGCCAACUGAGGAGCUGCCACGUUUCCAGGCUGCUACACUGCUCGAAGGAGAGCAAUGAAGAAGACACGGUGAAAUCCUUCCUUUGCUUCUUCAGGUUAUUUAGUGAGUAUUAAACUGUGGCAGUACCAAAAAUCCUGAGUAAAAUGACGUGAAGACACUGUGUUACAGGCUGUGACGAUUUCCUUCUGGCAGCGAUGGAGAAGGAGAAGCCUUUGCAAUUGUCCCAUAAACAGCAUGGAACCUCGGGAGGGGUGUGCGCACUGUGCUUGGCUUCCCCAAAUUCAUCAGCUGCAGGUGCUGCUGCUCUCCCUCCAUCCUGGAGUAGAAAGGCGUCUGCCAGCUGCAUACAUAAUAUCUUUAAAAUUUAUA
Long non-coding RNA from Lepidothrix coronata (blue-crowned manakin), 3145 nucleotides. RefSeq lists it as uncharacterized. NCBI's taxonomy places the organism in Eukaryota, Metazoa, Chordata, Aves, Passeriformes, Pipridae. The record is from RefSeq and is a predicted model, not a curated record. The transcript is spliced from 3 exons.